This 663-nucleotide ribosomal RNA is filed under the name uncultured cyanobacterium. RNAcentral's name for it is "bacterial SSU rRNA". It matches the Rfam family "Bacterial small subunit ribosomal RNA", at positions 99 to 795 of the family's 1533-position model. The record is from RNAcentral. Lineage: Bacteria; Bacillati; Cyanobacteriota.
CGGACGGGUGAGUAACGCGUGAGAAUCUGCCUUCAGGUCUGGGACAACCACUGGAGACGGUGGCUAAUACCGGAUGUGCCGCAAGGUGAAAGGUUAACUGCCUGAAGAUGAGCUCGCGUCUGAUUAGCUAGUAGGUAGUGUAAAGGACUACCUAGGCGACGAUCAGUAGCUGGUCUGAGAGGACGAUCAGCCACACUGGGACUGAGACACGGCCCAGACUCCUACGGGAGGCAGCAGUGGGGAAUUUUCCGCAAUGGGCGAAAGCCUGACGGAGCAAUACCGCGUGAGGGAGGAAGGCUCUUGGGUCGUAAACCUCUUUUCUCAGGGAAGAACAAAAUGACGGUACCUGAGGAAUAAGCAUCGGCUAACUCCGUGCCAGCAGCCGCGGUAAUACGGAGGAUGCAAGCGUUAUCCGGAAUGAUUGGGCGUAAAGCGUCCGCAGGUGGCUAUGUAAGUCUGCUGUUAAAGAGUCUAGCUCAACUAGAUAAGAGCAGUGGAAACUACAUGGCUAGAGUGCGUUCGGGGCAGAGGGAAUUCCUGGUGUAGCGGUGAAAUGCGUAGAGAUCAGGAAGAACACCGGUGGCGAAGGCGCUCUGCUAGGCCGCAACUGACACUGAGGGACGAAAGCUAGGGGAGCGAAUGGGAUUAGAUACCCCAGUAGUC